GUAACAUUUUCUUUCAUUAUUGAAAUCCACAGCAAACUCUGCGUUACAUUUUCUUGCAUUACUCAAAGCCACAGUAAACUCAUUUUGGAUGAGAAGGUAAUGGCAGCUACAGCAUCUAGUAGAGGAGCUCAAACCAUGAAUUCUAUGUAUUUCAAGUAAGAGUUUAUUUUGAUUAACAAGUUUGAUCAACAAAACCUUUAUGAUAUGUUUAGCCUUCAAUCGAAAAUGUGUCAUAUAGAGAGGACAUAUAACAUGACAUACGACAAAAAUAUAAGUUUUCUAACAUAUUAUAUAAAUAUUUACAGGGGCGGACCCACUUGAGCCCGAGUGGGGUCGGCCGCCCCCACUCGAUUUUCAAAUUUUUGAUUUUUCUUGAGGUUUUUUUUUUCAAGUUUUUUCCUAUGAUUUUUUGGUUUCGCCUCCACUGAAUUUUCAUCCUGGAUCCGCCCCUGAAUAUUUAUGUUGUUCACGCUCAAAUGGUGUUGACGAUACUAGAUCUCAGGAUAUUAUUUUAGUACAAUGUUUAUGUGAUUAAUUUUUCAAUACACCUGUAGGCCAAUGUGGAGGAAAAUGUAUCAUAGAAAACGUCCGGAUGUGUUAAGUGAUACGGCCAAAUUGAAUGGAGAUGAAGUGAAGAACAAGAACAUUGUGGCCGGAAAUUGUGAUGCCACUUGGUGGAUUCCGGAUGAUCGAACUGGGAUUUAUUACCCUAAGGGGCAAGAGAAGGUGAUGGAGGAUGUCCCUCAAGAUGCUGGUAGGAAUUUCGGAGCAAUCAAUUUGUUUUUUAACCAUGAGGAUUGUAUUUAGUUGGUCGUCAAAUGAUAUUUUUUUCACCAAUGUGUAUCAAUCUAUAUGUUUUUGUGCA
Molecule: long non-coding RNA, 865 nt
Filed under: Olea europaea subsp. europaea
Lineage: Eukaryota; Viridiplantae; Streptophyta; Magnoliopsida; Lamiales; Oleaceae
Source: RNAcentral